CGNAAUGCGAUACGUAGUGUGAAUUGCAGAAUUCCGCGAAUCAUCGAGUUUUUGAACGCAAGUUGCGCCCGAGGUCUAGUGCCGAGGGCAUGCCUGCCUGAGCGUCAUG
This 109-nucleotide ribosomal RNA is filed under the name Nothoceros endiviifolius. RNAcentral's name for it is "partial 5.8S ribosomal RNA". It matches the Rfam family "5.8S ribosomal RNA", at positions 49 to 154 of the family's 154-position model. From Rfam's summary of the family: 5.8S ribosomal RNA (5.8S rRNA) is a component of the large subunit of the eukaryotic ribosome. It is transcribed by RNA polymerase I as part of the 45S precursor that also contains 18S and 28S rRNA. Functionally, it is thought that 5.8S rRNA may be involved in ribosome translocation. The record is from RNAcentral. Lineage: Eukaryota; Viridiplantae; Streptophyta; Anthocerotopsida; Dendrocerotales; Dendrocerotaceae.